UAGGGAAUCUUCGGCAAUGGACGGAAGUCUGACCGAGCAACGCCGCGUGAGUGAAGAAGGUUUUCGGAUCGUAAAGCUCUGUUGUAAGAGAAGAACGAGUGUGAGAGUGGAAAGUUCACACUGUGACGGUAUCUUACCAGAAAGGGACGGCUAACUACGUGCCAGCAGCCGCGGUAAUACGUAGGUCCCGAGCGUUGUCCGGAUUUAUUGGGCGUAAAGCGAGCGCAGGCGGUUAGAUAAGUCUGAAGUUAAAGGCUGUGGCUUAACCAUAGUACGCUUUGGAAACUGUUUAACUUGAGUGCAGAAGGGGAGAGUGGAAUUCCAUGUGUAGCGGUGAAAUGCGUAGAUAUAUGGAGGAACACCGGUGGCGAAAGCGGCUCUCUGGUCUGUAACUGACGCUGAGGCUCGAAAGCGUGGGGAGCGAACAGGAUUAGAUACCCUGGUAGUCCACGCCGUAAACGAUGAGUGCUAGGUGUUAGGUCCUUUCCGGGACUCAGUGCCGCAGCUAACGCAUUAAGCACUCCGCCUGGGGAGUACGACCGCAAGGUUG
Molecule: ribosomal RNA, 550 nt
Filed under: uncultured bacterium
Lineage: Bacteria
Description: bacterial SSU rRNA
Rfam family: Bacterial small subunit ribosomal RNA
Source: RNAcentral